AACGAACGCUGGCGGCAGGCCUAACACAUGCAAGUCGAACGCCCCGCAAGGGGAGUGGCAGACGGGUGAGUAACGCGUGGGAACCUACCUAGUGGUACGGAACAACUCGGGGAAACUUGAGCUAAUACCGUAUACGCCCUCAGGGGGAAAGAUUUAUCGCCAUUAGAUGGGCCCGCGUCGGAUUAGCUUGUUGGUGAGGUAAUGGCUCACCAAGGCGACGAUCCGUAGCUGGUCUGAGAGGAUGAUCAGCCACACUGGGACUGAGACACGGCCCAGACUCCUACGGGAGGCAGCAGUGAGGAAUAUUGGACAAUGGGCGCAAGCCUGAUCCAGCCAUGCCGCGUGAGUGAAGAAGGCCUUAGGGUUGUAAAGCUCUUUCGACGGGGAAGAUAAUGACGGUACCCGUAGAAGAAGCCCCGGCUAACUUCGUGCCAGCAGCCGCGGUAA
RNAcentral lists this ribosomal RNA (447 nucleotides) under uncultured bacterium. Its description in RNAcentral is "partial 16S ribosomal RNA". It matches the Rfam family "Bacterial small subunit ribosomal RNA", at positions 29 to 523 of the family's 1533-position model. The record is from RNAcentral.